UCCCGCUCUUCACGGGCAGUCUGUGUCGAGUGCCGCUUUCGCCUGGCAACGACACACAAGGGUUGCGCUCGUUACGGGACUUAACCCAACAUCUCACGACACGAGCUGACGACAGCCAUGCAGCACCUGUCUCUUCGUUCCCUUAUUCAGGGCCCCCUUCGUCUCCGAAGGUUCCAAAGGAUGUCAAGACCAGGUAAGGUUCUUCGCGUUGCAUCGAAUUAAACCACAUGCUCCACCGCUUGUGCAGGCCCCCGUCAAUUCCUUUGAGUUUUAGCCUUGCGGCCGUACUCCCCAGGCGGAGGACUGAUCGCGUAUGCUUCGCGACGGAUAACAUACGUCACCCACCGCUCGUCCUCAUCGUUUACCGCAUGGACUAC
This 377-nucleotide unclassified non-coding RNA is filed under the name uncultured Pseudomonadota bacterium. RNAcentral describes it as "uncultured proteobacterium contains 16S-23S intergenic spacer region". Lineage: Bacteria; Pseudomonadati; Pseudomonadota. The record is from RNAcentral.